UUCAUUUAAUCGGAGAGCAGAAUGUGUAAGAAAUGAUCGAAGUCAUUUCUACUCAAUCAAUAAUCUCACCUAACUUUGACAAUCCGUAGUUUUAAUUGUUUAGAAUAGUUUAGCAGGUUUGAUGCAAUGUAUUACAGUCGAUGAUUACAUGAAUAACAGAACAAUUAAUCAAAAAAAAAUAAAUAGAAAGAUCCAAGAUGUAAUCAGAGAGAAGGGAGACAUGAAGUGCUAUCGCCAUUCACCAACCCAAGAAAUUAAAAAUUUCCUAACAGGGCGGCCAGUCUAUUCAUUUCACAUGUAGCCCAAAAACAUUACGUGUGGGAAAUUGUCACGCCCCGAGCCCGAGGCGCGGCAGACGCCGCACGCCCGCACGGCGAGCCGCACGGGCGCGCAAGGCAGCAGAUUAUAUCAAAGCAGAUACAACUAUUCAAAGAUGACAUAAUUAUUUAAAUUGUUCAAAAGCGGACUCACAAAACUCCAAAAUAACAUAUGCCAACAUAAUUCAAAUGUCCAAACUAAACUAACUAAAAUGCCAAUAACUGAAGAAUCAUCGGAAACUCUAACGCACUCCCCAAUCCCGUGCGAUCAAGCCUCUGGAUAUGAAAAAUGGAGAAAACAAAAUAAUGAGCUACACUAGCCCAGUAAGCAACAAAAUACCCCAGAGCGGGGUCAGAGCAUAUCAGAUCAAAAUACAGGAUAAUGUCUGGAAUAAAUCAUAAAUAACAUCGUUUUGUUGUUUUCAAAACUUAUUAUCAUUUUUCCAAAAACUCUUAUACCAGAAUCUCAACAUAUUAGGCUACGGCCACGUAACCCAGUGGCAUGGGUUGCACAGAGUGCCAGAAACCACUAUUGUUAAUCACCGGUGGAAACGGUGUCCAGAAACCACUAUUCUAAUCACCGGUGGCGCGGUGUCGAAACCGGUUCCUCACAGAUUACAAAUCGACAGGUCCAACGUAUAAUCCCCAUUGGCGGUGCCAGAACAGAACAGAACAGAUCAUAGCCAUGAUGAGAAUAUAUAUAUAAAAACAGAUUUCAUAAAUUUUUCAGUCAUAGUUUACGGAUUUCAGAAUAAAAUUUUCAAAUGAAAUUUAACAUGCCAGACCCAUUUUACUAAAUACAAAACAUAUUUCAGAAUUUAAACUAUGUAUUUGAAAAUCACACUUGAAGUAUUAAGUUUCUUACUUCUUCUCGCUUGAUUCCUACUUCAGGUAGAUGGAUCAGGUUCACCUAUUUAAAUUUAAUUAAUCCUUGUUAAUUCCAGAACUAAGCAAAAUCCAGAAAUCAUUCUAUUGGACACAGCCCAACAGGGCCUAGAAUUGGCCCAUAAUGGGCAUGGCCCUAUAGGGCCCAUAUCGGAUACGGCCCAAUGGGCCCACAUAGACUUAGCUAACUAGGGACCCCAAUGUUGGCUUCUAAUUGUACCUGUAUACAAUAAAAUUUAUUGCAGGGACUAAUACUUAAUUAUAGGGUACUGUUCUAUAAUAAAACUUGAGUGAGGGGACUAAAUAAAUAUUGUUGGGGACCUUUACGUAAUAAGUCUUUUCUAUAAGGAUCAAAUACAAAAUACAGAAGAUCCUUUUUGUGAAAUAAUAUACUGUCAAGGGCUUAUCUGCAAAAUUUCAUUUAGUGGCCAAAUGGGUUC
RNAcentral lists this long non-coding RNA (1642 nucleotides) under Phoenix dactylifera (date palm). RNAcentral's name for it is "long non-coding RNA (PDAC_LNC014191)". The record is from RNAcentral. Lineage: Eukaryota; Viridiplantae; Streptophyta; Magnoliopsida; Arecales; Arecaceae.